Non-coding RNA from Helianthus annuus (common sunflower), 117 nucleotides. The record is from Rfam. NCBI's taxonomy places the organism in Eukaryota, Viridiplantae, Streptophyta, Magnoliopsida, Asterales, Asteraceae.
GAGGGCCAUCCCAUGGAGGAUGGUUGUGGAUCACAUGAAAACUCCACAGUUAAGCGUGCUCGGUUGGAAGCAGUAUAAAGAUGGGUGACUUCCUGGGAAAUCUUCACCGGGUCAACC